GACGAACGCUGGCGGCGUGCCUAAUACAUGCAAGUCGAACGAACUCUGGUAUUGAUUGGUGCUUGCAUCAUGAUUUACAUUUGAGUGAGUGGCGAACUGGUGAGUAACACGUGGGAAACCUGCCCAGAAGCGGGGGAUAACACCUGGAAACAGAUGCUAAUACCGCAUAACAACUUGGACCGCAUGGUCCGAGUUUGAAAGAUGGCUUCGGCUAUCACUUUUGGAUGGUCCCGCGGCGUAUUAGCUAGAUGGUGGGGUAACGGCUCACCAUGGCAAUGAUACGUAGCCGACCUGAGAGGGUAAUCGGCCACAUUGGGACUGAGACACGGCCCAAACUCCUACGGGAGGCAGCAGUAGGGAAUCUUCCACAAUGGACGAAAGUCUGAUGGAGCAACGCCGCGUGAGUGAAGAAGGGUUUCGGCUCGUAAAACUCUGUUGUUAAAGAAGAACAUAUCUGAGAGUAACUGUUCAGGUAUUGACGGUAUUUAACCAGAAAGCCACGGCUAACUACGUGCCAGCAGCCGCGGUAAUACGUAGGUGGCAAGCGUUGUCCGGAUUUAUUGGGCGUAAAGCGAGCGCAGGCGGUUUUUUAAGUCUGAUGUGAAAGCCUUCGGCUCAACCGAAGAAGUGCAUCGGAAACUGGGAAACUUGAGUGCAGAAGAGGACAGUGGAACUCCAUGUGUAGCGGUGAAAUGCGUAGAUAUAUGGAAGAACACCAGUGGCGAAGGCGGCUGUCUGGUCUGUAACUGACGCUGAGGCUCGAAAGUAUGGGUAGCAAACAGGAUUAGAUACCCUGGUAGUCCAUACCGUAAACGAUGAAUGCUAAGUGUUGGAGGGUUUCCGCCCUUCAGUGCUGCAGCUAACGCAUUAAGCAUUCCGCCUGGGGAGUACGGCCGCAAGGCUGAAACUCAAAGGAAUUGACGGGGGCCCGCACAAGCGGUGGAGCAUGUGGUUUAAUUCGAAGCUACGCGAAGAACCUUACCAGGUCUUGACAUACUAUGCAAAUCUAAGAGAUUAGACGUUCCCUUCGGGGACAUGGAUACAGGUGGUGCAUGGUUGUCGUCAGCUCGUGUCGUGAGAUGUUGGGUUAAGUCCCGCAACGAGCGCAACCCUUAUUAUCAGUUGCCAGCAUUAAGUUGGGCACUCUGGUGAGACUGCCGGUGACAAACCGGAGGAAGGUGGGGAUGACGUCAAAUCAUCAUGCCCCUUAUGACCUGGGCUACACACGUGCUACAAUGGAUGGUACAACGAGUUGCGAACUCGCGAGAGUAAGCUAAUCUCUUAAAGCCAUUCUCAGUUCGGAUUGUAGGCUGCAACUCGCCUACAUGAAGUCGGAAUCGCUAGUAAUCGCGGAUCAGCAUGCCGCGGUGAAUACGUUCCCGGGCCUUGUACACACCGCCCGUCACACCAUGAGAGUUUGUAACACCCAAAGUCGGUGGGGUAACCUUUUAGGAACCAGCCGCCUAAGGUGGGACAGAUGAUUAGGGUGAAGUCGU
This 1496-nucleotide ribosomal RNA is filed under the name Lactiplantibacillus plantarum. Its description in RNAcentral is "bacterial SSU rRNA". It matches the Rfam family "Bacterial small subunit ribosomal RNA". The record is from RNAcentral. Lineage: Bacteria; Bacillati; Bacillota; Bacilli; Lactobacillales; Lactobacillaceae.